AAAAACUCCCCUGUGGUUUCGUGCAUUCUCACUUUGCUACCCUGUGGUUUAAAACGUGUCAAUUUGCCCCCCCGUGGUUUCGUUUUUAUUUUUUUGUUAUCAAUUUUAUUAUUAUUAUUUUUUUAAAUCAGUGACAAAGUUAAAAUUAAAGGAUACUAAAGUGACUAUUCGAUAAAUAUAGAUGGUUAUCUGAAGUUUUUUGUAUAUAAUUUAACGAAAUAUUAACGAAAAAGCUUCCGAAAAGAUAAAAAUGAAACCACAGGGGGGUAAGUUGAUACGUUUUAAACCACAGGGUAGCAAAGUGAGAAUGCACGAAACCACAGGGGGGGUUUUUGAAGUUUUCCCUAAAUUUUAUUGUGUUAUAUAUGUGAUGGUGAAAAAGAUAUAUUUUUUAUUUAAAAAGUGAUUAUAAAGAUUAAUUUAUUUUUUAUUAAAAAAAUGCUCCCUACAACUGAAAUUACAAUCAAUUUGAACGUACUUACAAUUACUGUAGUUGAGCUUCCUCGAACAGCUUCAACUUUCCGCAACAACAGUUAAAUUUAAUAUACAUUAAAUUAAAUACUAUAUUUAGAAAUAUAUGCAGCCAAAUAGCCUGGUAGAAAAACCCUAUCUCCUAAUGCUGAUCUUUGAAAUCUGCGGAAAUGUAGCUAUCACAUUUAUUAGAAAUUCUUGUCCUUACUAACCUAAAAAAUACGAAAAAGAGUAACCCCAGAAUAAAUUUCAAAAAAAAACAAAAAAAAACAAAAAAAACAAACAAAAAUGAGACCAUCCUACAUAGAUGACAACUUGAGUGUAUGUCACAAUUCCAUAUUUUCAUGCUUAUUGUUUACGUAAAACCUUGACAAAGUGCGAAGAUGCGUCGGAUCCAUGUCAUCGGAUGUUGAUCGAUAACCCACUCGGGCACGGUUCACGACCCAAUUAAACCGCACGAGGAUUUGGACCAAAUCCUCUCGCAUGGUGAUGAUCUUCACGUUGAUUGAUUUUACCCGGUUCGAUUAGUUUCAAUGAAGCUGCAUGUAAUUCGACCGUAAAUCAAGUUUAUUAAAAAAAAUAUAUAUUAAUCUCUUUAUUCAUCGUGAACGACACGCUUACAUUCUCGAAAAUAAAUUAUAAAAACAUAAAUUAAUGCAGCCGAAUUAUGAUUACAUCAAUCAAAAUAUUCGUUUAUAAGUUUUUUCUUGGUAAAAUUAUUUUCUUUGUAGAGAAAAGAGGAAGAACAAGAAGGGCGAGAAAAAUGAUGUUUCGUAUUAUUUUAAUUAUAUUUUCUCUCAAAAUGAAGAGAAAUAAAAUUAUUUUUUUUAGGAGAAAAACUUAUUCUAUUCGCUCUCUUAUUUUCUGUAUUUAAACAGGAUUAGUAAAACAAUUAAUGAUCUAUUGUGCCGUGCACUUUAAAAUAAAAAAAUAAAACAAUAAAUAGAUCUACAUAAUUAAGAAGAGUAAUUCUUGAUUCAUUAAAUAUCAAUCAUUACGUGAAUGUAAUCAACACAAUAUCUUUUUUGGAUUUUUCUAAUAAAGAGCUAAUCAAGCAAUAAAUUUGUUGCUAGGAUUUCAAAUGUUAAAGGAGGGAGGUAAUUAAAUAUUUUUUUAUAUCAAUUAUUUAUUGUUAAUUUUCGUAUAUAUAUGAAUUUAAUUAAGAGCUCUGCUACUAAUACAGUCCAAAAGGAGGUACAGAUACAUUCUAUACACCACGCGCCUUAUAUAUGAUGAUUAAUGUCCUAAAAACAAAGUCCAAUUCAAUAAAUAUAAUUAAUUAAUAUUAUCUAAGUAUUUAUGCAUAAGAAAUAUUAUAUAUUUUGUGAAUAUUAUUUGGACAUCAUAUAGCUAAAAAUCAAUAAUAGAGCAAGAGUGAUUAUUAAAUUUGUGAGAAAUCAAUGCCAACAAUUUUUAAUUUUUAAUAUAUAGAUAUUUUAAAUAUUUUAAAGUAAAUUAGAUUUUAGUUUUGACAUUUUUAUAAU
This 1955-nucleotide long non-coding RNA is filed under the name Ananas comosus (pineapple). RNAcentral describes it as "long non-coding RNA (ACOM_LNC032015)". Lineage: Eukaryota; Viridiplantae; Streptophyta; Magnoliopsida; Poales; Bromeliaceae. The record is from RNAcentral.